ACGAACGCUGGCGGCGUGCUUAACACAUGCAAGUCGCACGCUGAAGCUCAGCUUUUGUUGGGUGGAUGAGUGGCGAACGGGUGAGUAACACGUGAGUAACCUGCCUCCUUCUUUGGGAUAACGCCCGGAAACGGGUGCUAAUACUGGAUAUUCACUGGUCUUCGCAUGGGGGUUGGUGGAAAGGGUUUUUCUGGUGGGGGAUGGGCUCGCGGCCUAUCAGCUUGUUGGUGGGGUGAUGGCCUACCAAGGCUUUGACGGGUAGCCGGCCUGAGAGGGUGACCGGUCACAUUGGGACUGAGAUACGGCCCAGACUCCUACGGGAGGCAGCAGUGGGGAAUAUUGCACAAUGGGCGCAAGCCUGAUGCAGCGACGCCGCGUGAGGGAUGGAGGCCUUCGGGUUGUGAACCUCUUUCGCUCAUGGUCAAGCCGCAACAAUGGUUGUGGUGAGGGUAGUGGGUAAAGAAGCGCCGGCUAACUACGUG
This 482-nucleotide ribosomal RNA is filed under the name uncultured bacterium. RNAcentral's name for it is "partial 16S ribosomal RNA". It matches the Rfam family "Bacterial small subunit ribosomal RNA", at positions 29 to 507 of the family's 1533-position model. The record is from RNAcentral.